Molecule: transfer RNA, 74 nt
Filed under: Elusimicrobiota bacterium
Lineage: Bacteria; Pseudomonadati; Elusimicrobiota
Description: Elusimicrobia bacterium (groundwater metagenome) tRNA-His
Rfam family: tRNA
About the family: Transfer RNA (tRNA) molecules are approximately 80 nucleotides in length. Their secondary structure includes four short double-helical elements and three loops (D, anti-codon, and T loops).
Source: RNAcentral
GUGGGUAUAGCUCAAUUGGUUAGAGCACUUGGCUGUGGCCCAAGUUGUUGCCGGUUCAAGUCCGGUUACCCACC